AGACACAGGACGUACUGAUCUUAACGGACUGUCAAUGCCCAAUUGGCAAUCCUAUGAUUAGGUGUUGGAAGUAUGCCCACAAAGCAACUCAUUUGAUGUAAUAGCUUUUUGGAAUACUUAUUGUAUUAAACUUUUAUAUGUUUAAUGAAGGGCAAAGCUUAUUGUUAAUCACUAUUUAUUGUAUCAUGUGUUUAAGCAAUAAGGGAAUCCAAGGAAUGUAUUUGUUCUAAGAGAGAAGUGAUCAAAUGAGUUAGAUUAUCGAGACCUCUCUCUUAUGUUCAUUCCUAAAACGUUCCUAGCCAUAGGAUUGCCAGUUGGGCAUUGACAAUCCGCUAAGGUUAGUAUGUGUUAUGUUGACUCAAACGUGAGUAUGAACUAGUCUCAAGUCAUUUGGUGUUGGACACUGAGACAAACACAUAGGUGCUCGAAAGAGUAAUCGAGUACACUGAACGUUGAUCAAAAGAGAGUUCGAACAUACAUGUCAUGUAUGAACUCUAAAGUUGCAAUAUGCAAAGUAGUCCUUUGACCUGAAGCAUCAUAGAUGUCUAAUGGUUAGGUCCUUGAUCUUCGAUCAUGUCAAUGGCAUUCCUUCG
Molecule: long non-coding RNA, 593 nt
Filed under: Malus domestica (apple)
Lineage: Eukaryota; Viridiplantae; Streptophyta; Magnoliopsida; Rosales; Rosaceae
Description: long non-coding RNA (MDOM_LNC001921)
Source: RNAcentral